GUCAAUGGCCAUGCCACCCUGAAUGUACCUGAUCUUGGAACCUAAGCAGGGUCAGGUCUGGUUAGUACUUGGGUGGGAGAAGUUGUGGAUGCUCAAGAUACAUGAUA
This 107-nucleotide ribosomal RNA is filed under the name Mandrillus leucophaeus (drill). Lineage: Eukaryota; Metazoa; Chordata; Mammalia; Primates; Cercopithecidae. The record is from RNAcentral.